This is a long non-coding RNA of Mauremys reevesii (Reeves's turtle), 792 nucleotides long. RefSeq lists it as uncharacterized. The record is from RefSeq and is a predicted model, not a curated record. The transcript is spliced from 3 exons. NCBI's taxonomy places the organism in Eukaryota, Metazoa, Chordata, Testudines, Geoemydidae.
UAUCAGGCCUACAAGCUCUGUACAUAGCAUAAUACUGGUGGUGGGAGAACAUUGUGUAAAUAAAAGCCACAGGUGCUGCAUAACUAGAAGCCUCUCUGAGCUUUAUUGGGGCAACCGCGCCCUAGGAAGAGGGGCGGGCAGAGGACUGGUCACAAGGUCCCUUCUAACUCUAUUAUUCUAUGAAUAUAGCUGGAUCUGAGAGAAGAUACAGGUCUGAGUGAUUCUGUGCUGUGACUCUGAUCGUACACUGUUGAGCUGCCGUGCUUGAAUCCGAUGGUCUUUUCAGGUUUGAGUCACUGGAACAAUCCAGAGAUCUAACAUUGGCCCAAAGUGUGAAUGAGCCACAAGUAGCACAACAUGUUGGGGAAUGAUUCUUCCCUCAGCAUUUUACACAAUGAACGUGUGCAUCAGAUGCCAGGAAGACCACUGGCAAGACACGCAGCGUUUGAACCCAUGUUUCUUCAUGCUAAGGGAGCAAGCUGAGCCAGGGGUUCUCCACAUGGCUGAGACUGACAGGAAAGAGCCUCACCCAGGACGCUGUAGAGGGAGUUCUGCUGGCUGAAGCCCCCGAGCCGGUCCAGCACACUCUGCAUGUGCUUCCUCAGGGCACUGGACUCCAGGAAGGCUCUGCACAGAAGCAAAAACAUCAGGUCAGGGCUGGGCAGGAGCCGCUGGCACACAAGCUGGAGGUGAGGCAGCACUUACCUGGACUGCUGCAGGCAAUGGAGCCGGAACGUGACGCUCCCUGUUGUCUCUGUGCGGAAACCAAAGCGGCUCAGGCACUCUCCCUGU